This 518-nucleotide ribosomal RNA is filed under the name uncultured bacterium. RNAcentral's name for it is "bacterial SSU rRNA". It matches the Rfam family "Bacterial small subunit ribosomal RNA", at positions 8 to 518 of the family's 1533-position model. The record is from RNAcentral.
AGAGUUUGAUCAUGGCUCAGGAUGAACGCUAGCUACAGGCUUAACACAUGCAAGUCGAGGGGCAGCAUUGGAGUAGCAAUACUCAGAUGGCGACCGGCGCACGGGUGAGUAACACGUAUCCAACCUGCCGCUUACUCGGGGAUAGCCAUUCGAAAGAAAGAUUAAUACCCGAUGGUAUAAAGAGUUCGCAUGUUCUCUUUAUUAAAGAAUUUCGGUAAGCGAUGGGGAUGCGUUCCAUUAGAUAGUUGGCGGGGUAACGGCCCACCAAGUCUACGAUGGAUAGGGGUUCUGAGAGGAAGGUCCCCCACAUUGGAACUGAGACACGGUCCAAACUCCUACGGGAGGCAGCAGUGAGGAAUAUUGGUCAAUGGACGAGAGUCUGAACCAGCCAAAGUAGCGUGAAGGAUGACUGCCCUAUGGGUUGUAAACUUCUUUUAUAAGGGAAUAAAGUGAGGGACGUGUCCCUUUUUGUAUGUACCUUAUGAAUAAGGAUCGGCUAACUCCGUGCCAGCCGCCGC